GCGGGUGUAGCUCAGCUGGUAGAGCACGACCUUGCCAAGGUCGCUGUCGUGGGUUCGAGUCCCAUCACCCGCU
RNAcentral lists this transfer RNA (73 nucleotides) under Planctomycetota bacterium. RNAcentral describes it as "Planctomycetes bacterium tRNA-Gly". It matches the Rfam family "tRNA". From Rfam's summary of the family: Transfer RNA (tRNA) molecules are approximately 80 nucleotides in length. RNAcentral also lists the same sequence under 1 other name. The record is from RNAcentral. Lineage: Bacteria; Pseudomonadati; Planctomycetota.